GAUGAACGCUGGCGGCGUGCUUAACACAUGCAAGUCGAACGGGAAUUAUUUUAUUGAAACUUCGGUCGAUAUGAUUUAAUUCUAGUGGCGGACGGGUGAGUAACGCGUGGGUAACCUGCCUUGUACAGGGGGAUAACAGUCAGAAAUGGCUGCUAAUACCGCAUAAGCGCACAGAGCUGCAUGGCUCCGUGUGAAAAACUACGGUGGUAUAAGAUGGACCCGCGUUGGAUUAGCUUGUUGGCAGGGUAACGGCCUACCAAGGCGACGAUCCAUAGCCGGCCUGAGAGGGUGAACGGCCACAGUGGGACUGAGACACGGCCCAGACUCCUACGGGAGGCAGCAGUGGGGAAUAUUGCACAAUGGGGGAAACCCUGAUGCAGCGACGCCGCGUGAAGGAAGAAGUAUCUCGGUAUGUAAACUUCUAUCAGCAGGGAAGAGAUUGACGGUACCUGACUAAGAAGCCCCGGCUAACUACGUG
This 478-nucleotide ribosomal RNA is filed under the name uncultured bacterium. RNAcentral's name for it is "partial 16S ribosomal RNA". It matches the Rfam family "Bacterial small subunit ribosomal RNA", at positions 28 to 507 of the family's 1533-position model. The record is from RNAcentral.